This 462-nucleotide ribosomal RNA is filed under the name uncultured bacterium. RNAcentral describes it as "partial 16S ribosomal RNA". It matches the Rfam family "Bacterial small subunit ribosomal RNA", at positions 28 to 507 of the family's 1533-position model. The record is from RNAcentral.
GACGAACGCUGGCGGCGUGCUUAACACAUGCAAGUCGAACGGUGAACCUCUUCGGAGGGGAUCAGUGGCGAACGGGUGAGUAACACGUGGGCAACCUGCCCCCGGCUCUGGGAUAACUCCAAGAAAUUGGGGCUAAUACCGGAUGUUCACCGCUUCCCGCAUGGGUGGUGGUGGAAAGGGUUUCCGGCUGGGGAUGGGCCCGCGGCCUAUCAGCUUGUUGGUGGGGUAGUGGCCUACCAAGGCGACGACGGGUAGCCGGCCUGAGAGGGUGACCGGCCACACUGGGACUGAGACACGGCCCAGACUCCUACGGGAGGCAGCAGUGGGGAAUAUUGCGCAAUGGGCGGAAGCCUGACGCAGCGACGCCGCGUGGGGGAUGACGGCCUUCGGGUUGUAACCUCUUUCAGCAGGGACGAAGCGCAAGUGACGGUACCUGCAGAAGAAGCACCGGCCAACUACGUG